UACGUAGGGGGCAAGCGUUGUCCGGAAUCAUUGGGCGUAAAGAGCGUGUAGGCGGCCCGGUAAGUCCGCUGUGAAAGUCCAGGGCUCAACCCUGGGAUGCCGGUGGAUACUGUCGGGCUCGAGUCCGGAAGAGGAGUGUGGAAUUCCUGGUGUAGCGGUGAAAUGCGCAGAUAUCAGGAGGAACACCAAUGGCGAAGGCAGCACUCUGGGACGUGACUGACGCUGAGAAGCGAAAGCAUGGGGAGCGAACAGG
Molecule: ribosomal RNA, 253 nt
Filed under: uncultured bacterium
Lineage: Bacteria
Description: partial 16S ribosomal RNA
Rfam family: Bacterial small subunit ribosomal RNA
Source: RNAcentral